This 493-nucleotide ribosomal RNA is filed under the name Amblyomma americanum (Lone Star tick). RNAcentral's name for it is "partial small subunit ribosomal RNA". The record is from RNAcentral. Lineage: Eukaryota; Metazoa; Arthropoda; Arachnida; Ixodida; Ixodidae.
CAGCGGUUAAACAAAAAAGAUUUUUUUUUAUUCUAUUAAUGUAAAAUUAAUCUUUAGGGAAAAAAUUAAUAAUUAAAAAAGGUGAAAUUUUUUAGUUAGUUUAAUAAAACAUUUAAAUAAAAACUCCAUUUUUAAAAACUAGGAUUAGAUACCCUAUUAUUAGGAAUAAUUCAUUGUUAGUAAAUAUUAAAUACGAAAACAAAAAAUUAUGGCGGUAUCUUAAGCUUUUCAGAGGAAUUUGCUCUUUUAUGGAUAAAACACCUAAAUCUUACUAAAAUUAGCAAGUUCAGUUUGUAUACCACUAUAAAAGUAAUAAUUAGUUAUUAUUACUUAAACUUUUAAUUUAAAAAGAAAAUUAAGUCAAGGUGCAGCAAAAAUUUUAGGAUGAAGUGAAUUACAAUGCUUUUUAGAAAAAAAAAUUGAAAUUUAAUUUUAGGAUUUGAAAGUAAAAAUUUAAUAAAAUGAUUUUUUGAAUUAAGUUCUGAGAUAUGUA